This is an RNA transcript of Lolium rigidum, 1093 nucleotides long. RefSeq lists it as uncharacterized. The transcript is spliced from 6 exons. Lineage: Eukaryota; Viridiplantae; Streptophyta; Magnoliopsida; Poales; Poaceae. The record is from RefSeq and is a predicted model, not a curated record.
UUGCCAACAUCGACCAUGGACACCUCCGCGGCCGAUCUCGAGGCGCGUCAGCUAGGCAUCCUCCGCCGCAUCGAGGAGCUCGAGCUCGCCGCCGAGCAGCGCCGCCUCGGGGCGCUCUCCAUCUCCGAUGCCGAGGCGGAGGUGGAGCCGGGGGGCACCGAGGUGCGGCUCUCGGCCAUCCUGGCCGCGCGCGGCGUGCGCGACUUCGCCUUCCGGCGCGUGCCCGCCGACUACUACGACCGCUCCCUCGAGGAGCGCCGCGGAAUCCUCGCCGCCGACUCGGUCGCCCAGCUCUGCAAGAGUAUCGUCAUGGUGAAUACCAAAGCUGCUGCUGAUGUAUCUGACUGCAGUAACCCGAAGAAUUCUAAAUAUUAUGUUGUCAUUGUUCAGUAUAUGGCACGGCUUAAUGCGGAAACCAUCAAGAACUUCCUGUAUGCCCUAAAUGAGAAUCAGAUACCUAAAAAGAGAUUUAACAUGAGGCUCGCACCAGAAGAGGAGUCAUGCAUGCUUACUGGGUUUGUGCACAAUGCCGUGACAUGCAUUGGAAUGAACACAGAUAUACCGGUUAUCAUAGAUGAAGCCAUCACCAAGUUGGAUGAGGAUUUCUUCUGGCUAGGUGGUGGAGAAGUUGACCUCAAGCUUGGGAUGCGGACCUCACAGUUCCUAAAAGCCUUCAAUCCAUUUGUGGUGAACUGCAGUUAAUGAGUAAGAACCACGCGUUCCAUGUAGGUUUACCCAGCCUUGAUCAACGCACUGCCAGGGAGGUACACUAGGCUUUUGCUUGGAUCUGAGCUGACUGUUGGUAAGAUUGAUGUAUCAGAGGGGACAUUCUUGGGAAGAUUGAUAUAAUUGGAGAACAAGUGGGCUUAUACUAUUACUAGGCCCUUUGUAGUUUGGGCCUGAGAGUUGCAAACCAGAGUAACCUCAUAUGAAAUGUGUUAACCAGACAUCUGGCUACAAGACCGAAGUUUGGUUCUGCCUUAUUGUACUCAACAUUUUUUCCCCUUGGAACAUGUUAUCUUAUUUUACAAGUUCAAAUCCUUCAUUUUUAGAUAACACUGGAGUUAACUUCAAAACGGGUGUCCUGAUUCAA